AAAUCAUGCCAUUGAAAGCCAGGUCACCUCCCUUGGACCACUGAUUACACCCCUGCGUGGAGGACACAGCCUGGAGUGAACACUGGGACUCACUUUGCUGUUAGCACUUGCGUGAGCUGGCUCAUUACUUGAAUUGUGCUCCUUGUUCUGUCUCUGAGAGGACUGAGCUCCGGGAGAGAACACCAAAGCGAUCGCCAACACCAAACGCAGAGGAGAAUUCUGAUGGCCAAAUUUACAAAUUUACCGGAGAGCAGAGGCUGAAGGCCAGGAGGGAGUCCAGCUAGAAGCAAGUCUCCGAUUUCCCCACUCUCAGCAGGGAGGGGAGAAGACGAGUCUCACCUCUAGGGAAGAGGCCGUGAGAGGACACAGCAAGAAGGCUGCAAGCCAGGAAGAGAACAUGACCCGAAACCAACCCUGAAAGCACUCUGAUCUUGGACUUGUAGUCUCCACAUUUGAGAUAAAAUAAGUUUCUGUUGAUUAUGCCGUGCAGUUUGUGGGAUGCUGUGAUGGUGGACUGAGCAGACUAAGACCAUCACAUGGGUGGACCAAACAGACUAGAACCUGAGGGAGAUGCCUGCCCUGCUUCUAGGGAAGAGGUGAAGGCUUCUCCCCACACUGUGUGCCAGCCUCCUCAUCCCUCUGUGUGAGGGAGACACUGGUCAGACUGAGCACAAAGAGUGGGCCACAUUUAUGAAGUUUCCUGAUCUGUACAACAGCAACAACAAUGGUACCAACCUCACAAUUUUGCGAUGAGAAGUUAACAAGUAAAGAUAAAUAAGCAAAAAUCAAUUGUUCAAUAAUAUUAGCUAUUUUUAUGUUUACAAACAAUUUGUGCCAGUCCCAAAUUUGUAUUCUGCAUUCUGCCAAACUAAAGACCUGAAUCUAUGACUUGUGGAAAGAAAUCUGGGAAUUGUUGACAUUGUAGGUGUGUGUAUAGGCAU
This 941-nucleotide long non-coding RNA is filed under the name Equus caballus (horse). RNAcentral's name for it is "lncRNA (ENSECAG00000044861.1)". Lineage: Eukaryota; Metazoa; Chordata; Mammalia; Perissodactyla; Equidae. The record is from RNAcentral.